Molecule: ribosomal RNA, 1485 nt
Filed under: Triticum aestivum (bread wheat)
Lineage: Eukaryota; Viridiplantae; Streptophyta; Magnoliopsida; Poales; Poaceae
Description: partial small subunit ribosomal RNA
Source: RNAcentral
UACCUAAUGCGGCCGCGGCGGCGGCGACGGGGAGGGAUGGCGGAGGUUCGUUACCUAAGUCGGCGGUGGCGGCGGGGCGACGACCGGCUGCUCCUCCUGCGAGCCGCGUCGGCCUCGUGGCUGACGUAGAGGUCAGGUAAGCAAGCAAGCAGGUAGGGGAGGCGAGGCGAGGGAGGUAGCUAUCUACCUUGUCAGGCGCGAUCCGAUCGAGGUCGGAGGCCGACGGCCGCGUGCUAAACCAGAACCAAAGGCCGCUCCCUCGGAACGAGACGAGGCGAGUCGUACCACGGCCUUUUGAGCUACGAUCGAUUCGAACCAAAUGCGUGCUGGUUUCGUAAUCCCGAAAUACCCGUAGUGACCUCGAUGUAGCGGUAACAUCUAAGAGGCCCUUCGCUCACGCUCAUGACAGUGUAGCUACGGUGCUCCCACUUGGGGUCCCUGAGGACGUGCUGCAUAAAACUCUCGGUUCUUAAUAUAAAUACAAACUAGGUAGGUCGAAUACUGUAGGACUUAUAGCCACCGUGUCCAAAGUCUUGGUAACCCAUAACCAGUUUGAAAAGACCAGAGAGUCAGCGACGAAGUCUUUUGAACGUAAGUCAUGGUAGCCUGAGAUGUUGGUUACUAUAUCUCGAGUUACCACAAUAGACCGGACCAGUCUAACGUCUCUUUGGGCCACCGACCCACAAAGGCAUAGUACCCUUCAAAGAGGUACGGUUGUGUAUGGAGUUACCUUAUAAACGUUAAAAGGUUACGUAUAAGUGAAGUCAACGUUCACAUCUCCAGGUACGGUUCUUGGGGUUGUGAAGAGUUUAAUUACAAGUACUAGUUAGAUCGAAGACGUAUUUCCUUUUCUGGUGUAGACGAACAUGAGACCUUGAGACCUACGAUUCCUACUCCACACACGACGACGACCCUCGCGCUCGCGUCGCCGGACUCGUCCGGGCCCAUCUCUCUCGCCUGCCGGAACCGGACGAUGCCGGGUUUGACUCACCGCCCUCGGGCCUACACCAGAAGCACUGAUGUCUACGUCAAAAAAAGAAAGGUUUUUUCCUUUCAUCUUCUUCUUUCUGACUCGCGACACUUCGGCCUCCAGCGGCUUCGGGGCCGUGCGCCCCCGACCCGCUCCUCGGGUCUGGCCACGAUAUAUACGCACCGUGAGCUGGCAUAGGCGUAGUUUGGUAAAGUGAGGUACCUGCCUGCGGUGAGGAUUUCGUCUGUUGAUGAAGCUUUUAAGUCCAGCGUCUUAGGGCAAAGACGUCGUCUAACUCGAAUGUUGACCAGGUGCGUUUCGCGUUUCGACCACUGCAACUGCUACGUCUGCUACUAGUACAUUCGUCGUCCGACUUGAGCUGCCGCAGGUGGAGGCCGCGGGUACGAGACGUUCUGCUUGAUAUACUUAGACUGCCUAGGUAGGAACCACCUUCCUUCGUCUACUCCUUUUUGGAGUUCUAGUUAGCUCUUUACGUUAAACUUUCAGCUUAAAUU